AUUGAACGCUGGCGGCAUGCCUUACACAUGCAAGUCGAACGGCAGCACGGGUGCUUGCACCUGGUGGCGAGUGGCGAACGGGUGAGUAAUACAUCGGAACAUGUCCUGUAGUGGGGGAUAGCCCGGCGAAAGCCGGAUUAAUACCGCAUACGAUCUACGGAUGAAAGCGGGGGACCUUCGGGCCUCGCGCUAUAGGGUUGGCCGAUGGCUGAUUAGCUAGUUGGUGGGGUAAAGGCCUACCAAGGCGACGAUCAGUAGCUGGUCUGAGAGGACGACCAGCCACACUGGGACUGAGACACGGCCCAGACUCCUACGGGAGGCAGCAGUGGGGAAUUUUGGACAAUGGGCGAAAGCCUGAUCCAGCAAUGCCGCGUGUGUGAAGAAAGCCUUCGGGUUGUAAAGCACUUUUGUCCGGAAAGAAAUCCUUGGCUCUAAUACAGUCGGGGGAUGACGGUACCGGAAGAAUAAGCACCGGCUAACUACGUGCCAGCCGCCG
RNAcentral lists this ribosomal RNA (496 nucleotides) under uncultured bacterium. Its description in RNAcentral is "bacterial SSU rRNA". It matches the Rfam family "Bacterial small subunit ribosomal RNA", at positions 30 to 517 of the family's 1533-position model. The record is from RNAcentral.